CGCAGAGCAGCCCAGCCUCCUGCCUCCGUGUGCCCUGAGGCCUAUCCUGCCAGAAAGCUGAGACGUCUGGGAGGCAGGUCUGGCCAGCUGCGAUGCUGUGUGCUACUCACUAGCUGCGGCUGCUCCUGGAACACACGGCGGGGAGUGUCCAGGAGCCAUGCCACACGCGGGCCCACACCUCACAAACCUGGUGGCCACAGAUUUGUCUCAGGUCACGAGUCAGGGAGAUCACGGCACAGCGCUGGGCGGAUCAAGGCCAGAGACGCCCAAAGACUCGCGCUUUUCUUUCAUUAGCGCUAAAGCCUCUGACUUUUUGAUUCCUGUUUCCUUUGAGGGGUUUCAGGUUAACCUGUCCUCAUGGUGGAAAAGUGGGACUUGGGUUUCUAUUUCAGUUCUGAGUCCCAGUGGUUGGAGGGAUGGAAGAUACUGGAGCCUCAGGACACACAAAAGGAAACCAGAGCUGGAGGAACGGGCCCCCACCUGCUGGCCAGGAAAAAGGGGUGCAGAAAAAUAAGUUUUUUUGUUAUCAGAAAGAAAGGAUCAUAAAAUGUCAGCAGGUCUCAUGGCCAGAAGUUGAUGUGAAAUCCCUAAGA
Capra hircus (goat) is the source of this 593-nucleotide long non-coding RNA. RefSeq lists it as uncharacterized. The transcript has 3 exons. Lineage: Eukaryota; Metazoa; Chordata; Mammalia; Artiodactyla; Bovidae. The record is from RefSeq and is a predicted model, not a curated record.